This 159-nucleotide microRNA precursor is filed under the name Podarcis lilfordi (Lilford's wall lizard). Lineage: Eukaryota; Metazoa; Chordata; Lepidosauria; Squamata; Lacertidae. The record is from RNAcentral.
CAAGCUGAGUGGGGAGGAGAGAGGGACAGAGAGCCUGCUUGCUUUAAAGGAGCCAACCGGACAGGAGCCGCUUACACUUGUGUAAGCGGCUCCUCUCCUCUCCCGCUUUGCUCCUUUAAAGAAGCAGGCUCUCUGUCCCUCUCUCCUCCCCACUCAGCG